RNAcentral lists this long non-coding RNA (233 nucleotides) under Gossypium barbadense (sea-island cotton). RNAcentral describes it as "long non-coding RNA (GBAR_LNC003495)". The record is from RNAcentral. Lineage: Eukaryota; Viridiplantae; Streptophyta; Magnoliopsida; Malvales; Malvaceae.
CAAGCUAUUAAUUACCAUGUUAUAACACCCUUAUUUUCUUUUUCUACACCAUUUCUCAUCACUUUCUCUUAUUUUCUCUUCACUAACAUAUCAAAAACAUAGGGCCUUAUGUAAGAAAACUCUACUAUAACAUUAUUUCCAUACUUUGUCAAUAAUAACAAACUUAAAAACAUAUUGAAAUCUUGAUAUACUUACCUUGUUCUAUUGAUACUAAUCUUUAACUUGGUUUUCUC